AGUGAACGCUGGCGGUAGGCCUAACACAUGCAAGUCGAACGGCAGCACAGUAAGAGCUUGCUCUUACGGGUGGCGAGUGGCGGACGGGUGAGGAAUACAUCGGAAUCUACUUUUUCGUGGGGGAUAACGUAGGGAAACUUACGCUAAUACCGCAUACGACCUACGGGUGAAAGCAGGGGAUCUUCGGACCUUGCGCGAUUGAAUGAGCCGAUGUCGGAUUAGCUAGUUGGCGGGGUAAAGGCCCACCAAGGCGACGAUCCGUAGCUGGUCUGAGAGGAUGAUCAGCCACACUGGAACUGAGACACGGUCCAGACUCCUACGGGAGGCAGCAGUGGGGAAUAUUGGACAAAGGGCGCAAGCCUGAUCCAGCCAUACCGCGUGGGUGAAGAAGGCCUUCGGGUUGUAAAGCCCUUUUGUUGGGAAAGAAAAGCAGCAGGUUAAGACCCCGCUGUUCUGACGGUACCCAAAGAAUAAGCACCGGCUAACUUCGUG
This 492-nucleotide ribosomal RNA is filed under the name uncultured bacterium. RNAcentral describes it as "partial 16S ribosomal RNA". It matches the Rfam family "Bacterial small subunit ribosomal RNA", at positions 29 to 507 of the family's 1533-position model. The record is from RNAcentral.